CCUGAGAAACCUAAAAGAUCGAAUGGGGAGAUUCAUCGUCAACGCAUUUGGUAUAUAUUCAAGUUACGAUAUAAAUUUAMCCUUGUGUUAAUUUUUGUACGUUCUUGUAUUAUUUUAUUGCUGAAUGUCGUCGGCGUGCACUUCUCCCCUAGUAGAACGUCGCGACCCGUUAGAUGUCGGUCUACGGCCCAUAUGGUAGUCUUUAAUGCUUUGUGCAUUGAAGUCCAAUGGUGUUUCCUGAUCGUCUAUCUGACGGUAUAGAAUAUGGUAUUGGGUCGCAAAAUUAUUUUGCGUUAAACCUAUCACAAGCAUGAUUGAUUAUCUAGUAGUGCGGACCUAGUSCCGUCACUGGAGUUAGUCUGCUGUUAGUUGGUAGAGUUCUUUAACUGGCUCAUUUAUACCGGUCAGCGAUGCUACUGCUUUAGGUACUUUCAGGACCCGUCUUGAAACACGGACCAAGGAGUCUAACAUGUGCGCGAGUCAUUGGGAUUUAUUUUUUUAAAACAAACCUAAAGGCGUAAUGAAAAUAAAGGUCGACUUUUGUCGAUUUAGGGAGGAUGAGUUAUAUUACGAUAUAAUUCCGCACUCCCGGGGUAUCUCAUUSRCAUUAUGCGNNNNNGUGCACCCA
RNAcentral lists this ribosomal RNA (628 nucleotides) under Orgilus sp. mina09. Its description in RNAcentral is "eukaryotic LSU rRNA". It matches the Rfam family "Eukaryotic large subunit ribosomal RNA", at positions 386 to 797 of the family's 3401-position model. The record is from RNAcentral. Lineage: Eukaryota; Metazoa; Arthropoda; Insecta; Hymenoptera; Braconidae.